Molecule: ribosomal RNA, 408 nt
Filed under: uncultured bacterium
Lineage: Bacteria
Description: bacterial SSU rRNA
Rfam family: Bacterial small subunit ribosomal RNA
Source: RNAcentral
AGGAUCUUCGGCAAUGGGCGCAAGCCUGACCGAGCGACGCCGCGUGUGCGAUGAAGGCCUUCGGGUUGUAAAGCACUGUCGAGGGGGAGGAAAGUCCGCAAGGAUCUGACCUAUCCCUGGAGGAAGCACGGGCUAAGUUCGUGCCAGCAGCCGCGGUAAGACGAACCGUGCGAACGUUGUUCGGAAUCACUGGGCUUAAAGGGCGCGUAGGCGGGCUAUCAAGUCAGUGGUGAAAUCUUUCAGCUCAACUGGAAAAGUGCCGCUGAUACUGGUAGUCUCGAGGGAGGUAGGGGUCGAUGGAACUAAUGGUGGAGCGGUGAAAUGCGUAGAUAUCAUUAGGAACGCCGGUGGCGAAAGCGAUCGACUGGACCUCUUCUGACGCUGAGGCGCGAAAGCCAGGGGAGCAAA